Molecule: long non-coding RNA, 4471 nt
Filed under: Podarcis lilfordi (Lilford's wall lizard)
Lineage: Eukaryota; Metazoa; Chordata; Lepidosauria; Squamata; Lacertidae
Source: RNAcentral
CACAAAUGUUUUUUGAAAGUUCUUUUUGAUUUGUUUUUCUCUUUUAAAAACCAUGCUUCAACGUUACAUACAGCAGAAAUAAAUAAAAAAACAAGUUUUGUGGCUAAAUAGGCUUCAUGAAAUCAACAGCUUCUUUUAUUACUAUAGCAAAAAGAGCUGAGGUACAAUCUAUUGUCUUCAGCUCUGUUCGCAAGGAGGGGGUUCCCCUAGAGGCAUUGAUGGAGGCCUCCCUGCUGGCCCUCGCAGCUCAGCCUCCCAGGCCAAGCGGCACAUAACCUUAACUGCACAGUUCUGACUUGGAUUGUACCCCAACCCCGUGCUGGCUAUUUGUGAAAAUAAAACCCUGCACUCAAGGACAGGACCACACGGUUAAGGUCAGCCCCACAUGAGGGGCAGUACACAAUGACCUCACAUAGUUUACCCAGGGAUCCCCCACCUUUACAGAAGCAGUGCUGGAAGACUAAGGAUUAUGCCCCUGGUUUUCUUGUCAUUGGUACAAAAUGACAAAACAAGAACACUAAAGACAGUACAUAUAUCUCUACCUGGAGCUCUUUCUCGAACUUCUUUGCCACCGAAACCUGCGUUUGCCAGUGAGCAGUGCGAACUCACCGACUGUCCCUCUCCCAUGGAAUUCAUGUGCCACUCAGGCGUGACCUAUUGCAAAUUUACCUCCGUUUAUAAAGGCAUAUUCCUUUUUUAACGGCAAGACCGGGGGGUGGGGGUGGGGGAAUAUAUCCACAUUUAUAAUCUAUCACAGUAAACCAGAAAAGAAGCCCAGCCUCCUUCAGUUCAUCACCAUGACACUUAGAUUAAAUAAUCUGCAUACAUUGAUCUAUCCAAAAUAUCAUAAUGCAAUAAACUAUUGUCACUAUUUUUAAUAAACUAUCUUGGCAAUCAUCACACAGGAAAUAUUAAGGUCCUACAAAGUGCAUGCUUUCAAACAAGCUUUGGUUGUCAGGAAAAAGCAAAACAAAUUAUAGCACUGGGCUAAGGAAAAGUGCUACAGAAAUAAAAAUUGGCAUGUGCCAUUAAUAACUUUGCUUCACUUUGCUUUAUUUCGGUUUCUAUCAACCGGUGUCUUAAGCAAUUUCUGCUUAAAAGGAUGGAGCAGCUUUACAUUGCCUGGUCAUUUUUUAAAUAGCCACUCUUUCCUGUUUAAGUUUUUCCUCCCUUAUAUAUGCCAUAUUUAGUAUCCUCGCACCCCACCAAAUAGCUGAGACUUUUCAAAAUUAUUAAUUUUUACCUCUUUGUUCUGCUUCAGCAUUUUCUUAAGCUAUUUUACCUCGCUCUAUGAGUUAAGGUCUCAAGUGACGGAUAACCUUUUCCCAGCUCCAGCGACAUCCAACAGACACCUGCUUCUAAAGCUUCUGGAAGAUCACCAGAACUGCAAUCAGUAACUUAAUAAGGGUUUGAGCAUGGAAACAGUCAGUUUUGUAUCACAGUCACCAGCCCUGCUGAUCUUAUUACUCCCCAUUUGCAACACCGUGAAUUCUGGGUGCACUUUGUAAGGGAGAUUAUCAUGACGGAUAAAGCUUUCGGAACUGCUAGUCUAGCGCUACUGGCCUUGUUCUGGCAAAACCCCAGUAAGCUUCCAAAGAAAACCCAGCAUCCCUUGAAUCUAGGCGCAACAUCACAACUACUGGCGAGGACAGCUGCUGUUUAGGCAGCCGGCAGACACUGUCCUUUGCCUGCAGCAGCACUGGGGCUCAAUAACAGUGGGUGCUGCUGCUGCUAGUGGUGUGGUAGCGUGUGUAGCGGCACUGGCAAAAACAGGAACUCUAGAAAACACUCUGCUACCAUUACCCAAAGACCUUAAUCUAUCCCAUCUCAAGGACUGCCAUUUAAGUCUGAGUGCCGCAAGCUUUAGUUUCUCAGUGCACACUGUAAUCAAAGUUUCUCGAGAAAGCAAGAGGCUCUAGGAAUGGGAUAAUGGGGGCGCAAGCAGCAACACUAGAGCCAAAUGCCAUGGGCAAGACUGCCUGACUUUGCCAAAAUGGGUAAACUCCAAAACUUAAAAGUACCUGUAACCAGCUUGGAUCAUCAUAACUGUGUCUUAAGAUCCACUCUGACGUUUUGCUUUGGAGUAGUUGAAUAAUGAGUGAAUAAAGUCAACAACGAGAGACACUCACGAAAACUUGUAACUAUUAAAGAAAAAUUAGACUGGCAGGCAAUGCACAGAGGAGUCCUGCUCCUGAUAGCUAUUUUCAUGCAGGACCUCCCUGGUGUUUUGCAUUCCAGUGCUCAUGCCAGAGAUGAAGCCUGGAAAAAUUAAUUGGCCGACUCCUUUGCCAUGAGCUAAGGGAUAAAAAAGCCACCUGUCAUCAGCACAACACUCCACCUCUCUUACUUUUUAAAAUCCAUGGUUUGUUUGCUUUUUAGAUUUCUCUAGGUGUGAAUUCUAAAGCUCCUGGGAGGCUGUCCCUGGCACCACAGGAUUUGUUCCAUCUCCCUCUCAUGAGGGUGAGAGAGAGAUCUGCCUUGAAAGGUCAGCAGCUGGCAGUUCUCCAUGAUCAGACCUGCAACAUCUGAGAAAACAGAGUCCAGAGUAGGAUGGACGAGGGGCUGGAUCUACAGGAUCCAAUGUCCCCUGAAUUUGGGGGAGGGGGACAUUCCAGUCCUGAAGCUACUGUAACUUUCCUCCCACUGGGAGCAAUGAGAGAGGAAGGUUUUUAUUUUUAAAAAAGUCAUACAACUGUAGAACGCCACAUGAAAGACCAUGGUUCAGUGACAGAACAUCUGCUUUGCAUGCAAAAGGUCGCUGGUUCAAUCCCUGACAUCCCUAUGUAGGGAUGGGAGAGAACCAUCCCUGAAAAGACACUGCCAGUAAACAAUGCUCAGCUAGAUGGACUAAUGGUCUGACUCUGUACAAGACAAGUACAAGUGGGUAGGGAAAGUGGGCUUCGCCCUGUCUCACAGAUGUGCUCUGCCCACCAAAACCCAUUUAUCUAAACCAAGCAUUAUUGACAGGAGUGUUGGGUCUGGAAGCCCAGCUGUCUGUCGUUUUAUCUUUUUGUUUCAAUUGUUCUGCAACCAGUGGUUAUAAAUGGCCAUGAAUAUAAUUAUCUAGAAACUGCCAGCUCAUAAGGCACAGGUCUAAUGAUCCAAGUGGACAUUGCAAACAUCAUUGUUUUUGGAAUUGUACCUAAAAUGGCAAAUGGGCAUGUGCAAUACGGCUGCUGACUCCUUCCCUUCUACCACACACACACACCAGCGAUAUUUCAUUGCUCUUACAAAUCUAGAUGGCACCCACCUAGUAAAAUACAUGCAAUUCAAAUCAGCUGAUUAAGUCAUCACUCCUAUUAGUAAAUGGGUGAGAGCAUGUGGGUGUCACCUGCACACAAACAGGCUAGGCACCAAAAUACAUCCAAGGGUAGGCCUGUGGUGGGCCUCUUCAAUUGUGGGGGAGCGUGAAGAAAAGAAAAUUAAGACUCCAGCCUGAGUGGCUUUGGGUGAGGGGCAGAAGGAAGGGAUAAUGUGAGCAGAGGCAGGCGGCGGGUGUGUUUAUGGAGAAGGAGGGAGCUCCAAGCCUAAUCUGACCCCCCCUUGGAGGAUCCUUUAAACUUAGGAAUUGUUCCUUCACAGUUUCUGGGAGCAUGAGGUGGGGGGUCCUCUCCCUGAGUCUUGGCUUUGGGGGCAACGGGAAGCAACAUACACACACCCUUAGGCCCCCACCCCCAAAGCUGUCUUGAGGGCUGGACAGCUUCCACUGCAGCCCCUCUGCUUGAACGGCGCACCAGCCAACGAUAGCAGAGAGGCAGCUAUACUUAGAGCCGGCUCCUUACAGCCAGAAAUAAUGACUGGGUAGUGGAAAAAGAGGAGAGGGUAAAAUGAGGAACAAUAACCCUCCUCCUUCCCCUGCUUUCCUUCUCUCGUUCUGCAACUUUCUACACAGUGCACUUCAAAGAGAAACCUUGUCUUCCCUGGUUAAGCAGGUAUUGCAUGCCUUAUUGGGGUUUUCCUCUUACUCAGCCAAAAUCAAUGAGUGCUAUGCAAAUUCAGGAAGCUGGGCCCAUCGUCCAAAGCCUAAGUUAGGUUCCUGCUAGAGUUAGCUUCCUCCAAUAAGCAUAUUUCGACCCAGAAGACCCUGUCUUUUCCCCCCAGGACAAUGAAGCUCUGCUAUCUUUCUCUCCCCAGCUUUCCAGCACAGGAAAGGUUGCCUCAGCCUGAGCAGAGCCACUCAUGCCUUGAUGUGCCAGUACGGCAGGAACUGCAUGGUGAUCUGAAUACCCCUUGCGUUGUGUGAGAAGACAGCCGCUUUAACCUUCACAGAGCUGGGGAUCCAGAAGGAAUAGCUGCCAUUCACACGGGCCUCUGCUGGGUGGGGGAAAUGGGCAGGCUAUGGUAUUGCAGUGAAAAUGGGCAAGCCAAGUUCUUCACCAAGAAAAGCAGAAUUCUACAAGCUGUGUACAUUACGCAAAUAGUCAUAAUUUAUCUUGCUGCACACAACUCUCUUCUUCUUCUGUUUUUAAUU